UACGUGCUCCGGGGUCGGUGUAAUUCCGAGCCGGCGGUGACAGUCCGCGACCCGCACGCCUCACCUGAGGUGAGCGGUUGACCUGGUGGAACUCCAGGACCGACGGUGAAAGUCCGGAUGGGAGGCGCACGUG
RNAcentral lists this non-coding RNA (133 nucleotides) under Luteipulveratus halotolerans. RNAcentral describes it as "FMN riboswitch aptamer (RFN element)". It matches the Rfam family "FMN riboswitch aptamer (RFN element)". From Rfam's summary of the family: The RFN element is a highly conserved domain that is found frequently in the 5'-untranslated regions of prokaryotic mRNAs that encode for flavin mononucleotide (FMN) biosynthesis and transport proteins. Lineage: Bacteria; Bacillati; Actinomycetota; Actinomycetes; Micrococcales; Dermacoccaceae. RNAcentral also lists the same sequence under 1 other name. The record is from Rfam by way of RNAcentral.